ACUCAAAUGAAUUGACGGGGACCCGCACAAGCGGUGGAGCAUGUGGUUUAAUUCGAGGCAACGCGAAGAACCUUACCAGGACUUGACAUCCCUUCUAAACCUUAUGUAAUGUAAGGCUCAGCUCGGCUGGGGAGGAGACAGGUGCUGCAUGGCUGUCGUCAGCUCGUGUCGUGAGAUGUUGGGUUAAGUCCCGCAACGAGCGCAACCCUCAUCAUUAGUUACCAGCGGGUCAUGCCGGGGACUCUAAUGAAACUGCCCAUGACAAGUGGGAGGAAGGCGAGGAUGACGUCAAGUCAGCACGGCCCUUACGUCCUGGGCCACACACGUGCUACAAUGGUGGUGACAAUGGGCAGCAACGUCGCGAGGCGAAGCUAAUCUCAAAAAACCAUCUCAGUUCGGAUUGCACCCUGCAACUCGGGUGCAUGAAGCUGGAAUCGCUAGUAAUCGCAUAUCAGCAGGAUGCGGUGAAUACGUUCCCGGGUCUUGCACACACCGCCCGU
RNAcentral lists this ribosomal RNA (500 nucleotides) under uncultured bacterium. RNAcentral describes it as "partial 16S ribosomal RNA". It matches the Rfam family "Bacterial small subunit ribosomal RNA", at positions 899 to 1397 of the family's 1533-position model. The record is from RNAcentral.